GGAAGAAGCAGACACAUACAGGACCCCACAGAGUGCGAUGACAAAGGAUGGAUGGACAGAAUCAAGUUCUAGGUGGCAUCGAGACAGAAGGAUCCUCACAGCACAAAGCAUCGAUGACACAGAAGCUCUUAUCCAGAAGCCCUCGCGCCCGCAGUCCUGGGAACAAAGUCAGGAGAGCAGUAGGGCUAAAUCUACGGUGACGGUGACGGGAGCAAACGGUUAACACUCACUCCACAAAGGAGGAAGACUCUGGCUGUCACUCUCCCGAGCUAGCUGCUUGCCUUAGGCAUUGGUGCAGAGGGACUCUGAUCACCAGCGUCACCUGGCAAGCAAAGGACAGUCACAAACAGAGAUGUCUACAAUCUGGUCAAGCUGAAUCCCACAGUAGCCUGCCGCAAGGACAUUCAUGUCACAUACAGAGAGGUCCUUGUGGUGAGGAGCUCAGGCUGUGAGAAUCCACAGCUGGUCUUAGACAAGUGGGCUUGGAUAUGGAUCCUCCCAAGACGAUCUACCACGUGUGAUCUUGGCCCUAAGGACAGCGUGAAUUCCUCCUCGUGAGAAGACCUCCUGGAUCUCUAAUCCUCUGAAACUGUUGGAAAUGGCAGUUACCAUGUUAAGUAUUUUAAGUGCAGUAGUCAUGGAACAAGAAAAGAGUAAUGCAGAGCCCUUUGUCACAUUGUACUGUGCCUAUGGAAGGUGUCUUCCCUGACCUCCAUGUUUAAAGCUUCAUCAAUCACAAGGGCACUUUAAAAGAAUGUACUAUAAAAUGAUCUAUAGAGACCAAUGCUUGACAGCUUCAGCCUAGGCUUAUCAUGAAACAAGCGCGCUGCUGUAGUCACAUGGUAGCCACCUUCCUCUGUCAAUUG
Molecule: long non-coding RNA, 866 nt
Filed under: Mus musculus (house mouse)
Lineage: Eukaryota; Metazoa; Chordata; Mammalia; Rodentia; Muridae
Description: predicted gene, 50056
Source: RNAcentral